Molecule: ribosomal RNA, 253 nt
Filed under: uncultured bacterium
Lineage: Bacteria
Description: partial 16S ribosomal RNA
Rfam family: Bacterial small subunit ribosomal RNA
Source: RNAcentral
UACGUAGGGUGCAAGCGUUAAUCGGAAUUACUGGGCGUAAAGCGUGCGCAGGCGGUUUUUCAAGACAGAUGUGAAAUUCCCGGGCUUAACCUGGGAAUGGCAUUUGUGACUGGAAGGCUAGAGUGUGUCAGAGGGGGGUAGAAUUCCACGUGUAGCAGUGAAAUGCGUAGAGAUGUGGAGGAAUACCGAUGGCGAAGGCAGCCUCCUGGGAUAACACUGACGCUCAUGCACGAAAGCGUGGGGAGCAAACAGG